GAUGAACGCUGGCGGUAUGCCUUACACAUGCAAGUCGUACGAGAGUUUUUAACUCAAGUGGCGGACGGGUGAGUAACACGUAAGAAUUUGCCUCUAGGAGGGGGAUAACAACUGGAAACGGUUGCUAAUACCCCAUAUGCUUUCGAGUGAAAUGGAUUUCCGCCUAGAGAGAAGCUUGCGGCUGAUUAGCUUGUUGGUGAGGUAAUGGCUCACCAAGGCGACGAUCAGUAUCUGGUUUGAGAGGACGAUCAGACACACUGGAACUGAGACACGGUCCAGACUCCUACGGGAGGCAGCAGUGGGAAUAUUGGACAAUGGGGGCAACCCUGAUCCAGCCAUGCCGCGUGAGUGAUGAAGGCCCUAGGGUUGUAAAGCGCUUUCAGCGACGAGGAUAA
Molecule: ribosomal RNA, 395 nt
Filed under: uncultured bacterium
Lineage: Bacteria
Description: bacterial SSU rRNA
Rfam family: Bacterial small subunit ribosomal RNA
Source: RNAcentral